RNAcentral lists this long non-coding RNA (341 nucleotides) under Salvia miltiorrhiza (redroot sage). Its description in RNAcentral is "long non-coding RNA (SMIL_LNC014046)". The record is from RNAcentral. Lineage: Eukaryota; Viridiplantae; Streptophyta; Magnoliopsida; Lamiales; Lamiaceae.
GGCAUGAAAGGGAGAGAGAUAUAGAUCGGGUAAACUCGGCUUUGAAAUCGCACAAAGCCCUCUCUUUGCAGAAAUUCAAAAUCAAUUUCUUUUUAAGCAGAGUGGAGCAGCAGGUUGUGGGGGAAUGGGUUGAAUUUGUGUUUUCGAGGGGAGUUGAGAAGCUGGAGCUAAACUUGGGUUGGCAUGAAAGGCCUGCGCAGAGCGUUGGUGUUGUGCUUGAUGUAGAGAUGAUUAAGAGCAUUGAUGCUUUCAAAUCAUCCCUCAAAGUGUUGUGUGUGAGAUGUAUUGAAGCGAGUGGUGAUGCUAUAUAGAUGUUGCUAUGCCAUUGCAAGUUGUUGGAG